This 245-nucleotide ribosomal RNA is filed under the name uncultured bacterium. RNAcentral's name for it is "partial 16S ribosomal RNA". It matches the Rfam family "Bacterial small subunit ribosomal RNA", at positions 524 to 767 of the family's 1533-position model. The record is from RNAcentral.
UACGGAAGGUGCAAGCGUUAGUCGGAAUUACUGGGCGUAAAGGGUGCGUAGGCGGAACUGUAAGUCGGGCGUGAAAUUCCGGGGCUUAACCUCGGAACGGCGUUCGAUACUGCAGAUUCUAGAGGAAUGGCGGAGAGAAUGGAAUUCCAUAUGUAGCGGUGAAAUGCGUAGAUAUAUGGAAGAACACCUGUGGCGAAAGCGGUUCUCUAGCCUUCUCCUGACGCUGAGGCACGAAAGCAAGGGGA